GCCGUGGAGGAAUCCGCCCCAGCGAUCCCAGCGGUGCCGCCCCCCGCCCAAGCAAAAGCUGCCUUCGUCUUCUCGGUUGCCUCAAGGGCUCAAGACAGACAAAUAAAAUAACUUUAACAUUUUAAGAAUUAAGCCACGCAUUUUGAACUUGUCGCCGUUUCAUCCGGCUCACGCACGACGUUCCAUUUACCUGCGCACCGAGAGCACCCCACGCGCUUUGCCGCCCGGCGCUUCGGCCCCGCCGCGCUCCGCGGCCACAUCCGAGCGGCCCAGCGCAGCCCCGGCGGGUCCCGCCUCCGCCCCCGGCCCGCGGGCACCUGAGCGCGGCGGCUGCGCGGGGGGCGAGCGGGCGGGGCCGGCCCGGCCCGGCCCUCACAUGCGCGGCGCCGCGGGAGCCAUUGGCCGCCGCCCCGCCGGCCCCGCCGCCGCCGGCAGCCGGUGCUGUCCGCACGCCGAGCCAUGCGGGUGCGCGCUGCAGGACGCCGCUAGGAGCCCAGCCCGCCCCGCCUCUGCCCGCCCGCAUGGCAACGCCGCGGGACUGACCGCCGCCGAGAAGCUCUGUGCCCCCGCCGCUCGCACGGCUCGGUUUGGUUCGGCUCAGCUCGGUUCGGCCGGGCGGCUCUCGGGGACCGCAGCCCGCAGAGCCGGCCCUGAGGUAUGAUCCGAUCCAUGUUUCAGCCUGUUCUGGGAGUGGGAGGGUGGUGGUGAUGGACCUCAGCAGUCUUUCAGAUUGUGAUUCACCACUUGAAGAGAAGCUCUCCUGUUCUUCCAUACCUUACUAAGUGUGGUGAUGGUGCCGCUCAGCCUCUCCUGGCCCCUUUCCUUAAAUGCUGAUACAUUCUCAAAAAACACAGUCCUCCUACUUCGAAGGCGGCAACUGCCUUUGCCUGCUGUUUUCGGAAAUGGUUUGUUGCCUUUGGAGGCGGUGCUGAGGAGGGAUUGGAGGGCCUGGUGUGAACUCUGUGUAGGCCCUUCUUGCAUGGCUCUCUGACCUCAUGGAAAAAUAGAGUUACAGAAGCAGCCAAGGUGAAUGGCCCCGUGGCUGUGAGCAUUUUCUGUUAGACCUCAAGUAUGAUCCAAAGCUCUGUUCUGAAGCCUACUUGGAAGGCUUUCCAAAGGUAAACCUUUUGAAAGUAUCUAGUCACAAGUAUUUAAAAACCUAGAGUCUCUGAAAACUCCAGUUCUGCAUAAAAAGAUUUGCUUCUCUUGAGACCACUUGACUGCCCCAAGCCCUUUCAAGAAGAAAAGUCCAUGAGGCAUAUUUCAUUUGAGGAUUUGACAGUGCUUUCCCCAUCUCCUUAUUCUGGG
This 1308-nucleotide long non-coding RNA is filed under the name Cyanoderma ruficeps (rufous-capped babbler). RNAcentral's name for it is "lncRNA (ENSCRFG00000002310.1)". Lineage: Eukaryota; Metazoa; Chordata; Aves; Passeriformes; Timaliidae. The record is from RNAcentral.